RNAcentral lists this ribosomal RNA (253 nucleotides) under uncultured bacterium. Its description in RNAcentral is "partial 16S ribosomal RNA". It matches the Rfam family "Bacterial small subunit ribosomal RNA", at positions 524 to 776 of the family's 1533-position model. The record is from RNAcentral.
UACGAAGGGUGCAAGCGUUACUCGGAAUUACUGGGCGUAAAGCGUGCGUAGGCGGUUUGUUAAGUCCGUUGUGAAAGCCCUGGGCUCAACCUGGGAAUUGCAGUGGAUACUGGCGAGCUAGAGUGCGGUAGAGGAUGGUGGAAUUCCCGGUGUAGCGGUGAAAUGCGUAGAGAUCCGGAAGAACACCGGUGGCGAAGGCGGCCUGCUGGGCAGUUGCUGACACUGAGGCGCGACAGCGUGGGGAGCAAACAGG